UAAGGAAUAUUGGUCAAUGGACGCAAGUCUGAACCAGCCAUGCCGCGUGGAGGAUGAAGGUCCUCUGGAUUGUAAACUUCUUUUAUCUGGGACGAAACACUUCUUUUCUAAGAGGCCUGACGGUGCCAGAUGAAUAAGCACCGGCUAACUCCGUGCCAGCAGCCGCGGUAAUACGGAGGGUGCAAGCGUUAUCCGGAUUCACUGGGUUUAAAGGGUGCGUAGGUGGGUAUGUAAGUCAGUGGUGAAAUCCCCGAGCUUAACUUGGGAACUGCCAUUGAUACUAUAUAUCUUGAAUACCGUAGAGGUAAGCGGAAUAUGUCAUGUAGCGGUGAAAUGCUUAGAUAUGACAUGGAACACCAAUUGCGAAGGCAGCUUACUAUGCGGUGAUUGACACUGAGGCACGAAAGCGUGGGUAGCAAACA
This 422-nucleotide ribosomal RNA is filed under the name uncultured bacterium. RNAcentral's name for it is "bacterial SSU rRNA". It matches the Rfam family "Bacterial small subunit ribosomal RNA", at positions 355 to 774 of the family's 1533-position model. The record is from RNAcentral.